CGGACGGGUGAGUAACCGCGGUACGGAAAACCUCGCCGUAUACUGGGGGAUAACACUUAGAAAUAGGUGCUAAUACCGCAUAAGCGCACAGCUUCGCAUGAAGCGGUGUGAAAAACUCUGGUGGUAUACGAUGGUUCCGCGUCUGAUUAGCUAGUUGGUGGGGUAGUGGCCUACCAAGGCAACGAUCAGUAGCCGGCCUGAGAGGGUGAACGGCCACAUUGGGACUGAGACACGGCCCAAACUCCUACGGGAGGCAGCAG
This 260-nucleotide ribosomal RNA is filed under the name uncultured bacterium. RNAcentral describes it as "partial 16S ribosomal RNA". It matches the Rfam family "Bacterial small subunit ribosomal RNA", at positions 99 to 354 of the family's 1533-position model. The record is from RNAcentral.